GUAAAACGAAAAAAAAAAAAAUCUCCAAACAAAGUUGUUUAACAAAGCAGUGUUGAAAAUCAUGUGCAGUUACUAUUUUGUUGAGAUUUGUAGAUGAACACUGUUAUAACGCUAUUUGUCGCUGCAUCAAUCGCCCAAAACCAAGAUUAAAGAUAUUGAUGCUUAAGUAACAGACAACAUGGAAGAGGUCAAGUUGAGUCAAACAUGAUCACAAUCACAUGGAAAUUACUUGAUAUGAAAUCGAUACAUUUGAUUGUCCAUUUUUGCAUCAUUAGUAGAGACGCGGCCUACAAGCCAUCUCUCUCCAUAUAUUAUUUGCUAAAAUACGUGGGGCUCAAACUUAAGCAUCUGUCAUAAAACUACCCUUAGGAGUUGGGUAUGCGAUGGGUGCUAGUUCCUCUGACUCAACAAUUGGGUCAGUGCAGCAACUUGCUGGCGGAGCUCCUCAAAAGCUCCAGUGGUGAGAACAGCUGGUUGAGAUGCUGGCAUCUCUGAUGAUUCUUCUUGAGGGACUAGACGAUCUUUAGGAGAGGAGGAUGGUAUGGAAUGAAAGAACUUGUUGGGAGAAGACCUGAGCGUAGGGAUGUAAACGAGUCGGGCCGAGCCGGCUCGCGAGCCUAAAAUUUCGGCUCGGGCUCGGCCCAGUUAAAAUGGCUGAGCUUUUUUGCAGGCUCGGCCUGAGCUUUUGCUCGGGCUUUUUUCAGGUCGAGCCAAGCAGGCUCGUUUUCU
This 729-nucleotide long non-coding RNA is filed under the name Olea europaea subsp. europaea. The record is from RNAcentral. Lineage: Eukaryota; Viridiplantae; Streptophyta; Magnoliopsida; Lamiales; Oleaceae.